AAGCGAAACGGGGCUUGCCCCCGUCUACCCAGCGUGGUGGCUGGGUACUGAUGAGCAGCCGACG
RNAcentral lists this non-coding RNA (64 nucleotides) under Aeromonas hydrophila. The record is from RNAcentral. Lineage: Bacteria; Pseudomonadati; Pseudomonadota; Gammaproteobacteria; Aeromonadales; Aeromonadaceae.